GGAGAGAUGGGUGAGUGGCUGAAACCAGCUCCCUGCUAAGGAGCCAUACGUGUUAAGCGUAUCGAGGGUUCGAAUCCCUCUCUCUCCGCCA
This 91-nucleotide transfer RNA is filed under the name Gammaproteobacteria bacterium. RNAcentral's name for it is "tRNA-Ser". It matches the Rfam family "tRNA". From Rfam's summary of the family: Transfer RNA (tRNA) molecules are approximately 80 nucleotides in length. Their secondary structure includes four short double-helical elements and three loops (D, anti-codon, and T loops). Further hydrogen bonds mediate the characteristic L-shaped molecular structure. tRNAs have two regions of fundamental functional importance: the anti-codon, which is responsible for specific mRNA codon recognition, and the 3' end, to which the tRNAs corresponding amino acid is attached (by aminoacyl-tRNA synthetases). tRNAs cope with the degeneracy of the genetic code in two manners: having more than one tRNA (with a specific anti-codon) for a particular amino acid; and 'wobble' base-pairing, i.e. permitting non-standard base-pairing at the 3rd anti-codon position. RNAcentral also lists the same sequence under 1 other name. Lineage: Bacteria; Pseudomonadati; Pseudomonadota; Gammaproteobacteria. The record is from RNAcentral.